UCACUAUUUAAUUUGAGCUAC
This 21-nucleotide non-coding RNA is filed under the name Caenorhabditis elegans. The record is from RNAcentral. Lineage: Eukaryota; Metazoa; Nematoda; Chromadorea; Rhabditida; Rhabditidae.